UACGAAGGGGGCUAGCGUUGCUCGGAAUCACUGGGCGUAAAGCGCACGUAGGCGGCUUCUUAAGUCAGGGGUGAAAUCCUGGAGCUCAACUCCAGAACUGCCUUUGAUACUGGGAGGCUCGAGUCCGGGAGAGGUGAGUGGAACUGCGAGUGUAGAGGUGAAAUUCGUAGAUAUUCGCAAGAACACCAGUGGCGAAGGCGGCUUACUGGUCCGGAACUGACGCUGAGGUGCGAAAGCGUGGGGAGCAACAGGGAU
Molecule: ribosomal RNA, 255 nt
Filed under: uncultured bacterium
Lineage: Bacteria
Description: partial 16S ribosomal RNA
Rfam family: Bacterial small subunit ribosomal RNA
Source: RNAcentral